Molecule: ribosomal RNA, 495 nt
Filed under: uncultured bacterium
Lineage: Bacteria
Description: partial 16S ribosomal RNA
Rfam family: Bacterial small subunit ribosomal RNA
Source: RNAcentral
GACGAACGCUGGCGGCGUGCCUAAUACAUGCAAGUAGAACGCUGAAGGAGGAGCUUGCUUCUCUGGAUGAGUUGCGCACGGGUGAGUAACGCGUAGGUAACCUGCCUGGUAGCGGGGGAUAACUAUUGGAAACGAUAGCUAAUACCGCAUAAUAGCAGUUGUUGCAUGUCAACUGUUUGAAAGGUGCAAUUUCACCACUACCAGAUGGACCUGCGUUGUAUUAGGUAGUUGGUGGGGUAACGGCCCACCAAGGCGACGAUACAUAGCCGACCUGAGAGGGGGGUCGGGCAACAUGGGAAUGAGACACCGCUCAGACUUCUACGGGAAGGAGCAGUAGGGAAUCUUCGGCAAUGGACGGAAGUCUGACCGAGCAACGCCGCGGGAGUGAAGAAGGGUCUCGGAUCGUAAAGCCCUGUUGUAAGAGGAGAACGAGUGUGAGAGGGGAAAGUGCACACUGUGACGGUAUCUUACCAGAAAGGGACGGCUAACUACGUG